Molecule: ribosomal RNA, 510 nt
Filed under: uncultured bacterium
Lineage: Bacteria
Description: partial 16S ribosomal RNA
Rfam family: Bacterial small subunit ribosomal RNA
Source: RNAcentral
GACGAACGCUGGCGGCGUGCUUAACACAUGCAAGUCGAACGAAGAGCGACGGAAGCUUGCUUCUAUCAAUCUUAGUGGCGAACGGGUGAGUAACGCGUAAUCAACCUGCCCUUCAGAGGGGGACAACAGUUGGAAACGACUGCUAAUACCGCAUACGAUCUAACCUCGGCAUCGAGGAUAGAUGAAAGGUGGCCUCUACAUGUAAGCUAUCACUGAAGGAGGGGAUUGCGUCUGAUUAGCUAGUUGGAGGGGUAACGGCCCACCAAGGCGAUGAUCAGUAGCCGGUCUGAGAGGAUGAACGGCCACAUUGGGACUGAGACACGGCCCAGACUCCUACGGGAGGCAGCAGUGGGGAAUCUUCCGCAAUGGACGAAAGUCUGACGGAGCAACGCCGCGUGAGUGAUGACGGCCUUCGGGUUGUAAAGCUCUGUUAAUCGGGACGAAAGGCCUUCUUGCGGAUAGGGAGAAGGAUUGACGGUACCGGAAUAGAAAGCCACGGCUAACUACGUG